Long non-coding RNA from Pseudoliparis swirei, 271 nucleotides. RefSeq lists it as uncharacterized. Lineage: Eukaryota; Metazoa; Chordata; Actinopteri; Perciformes; Liparidae. The record is from RefSeq and is a predicted model, not a curated record. The transcript has 2 exons.
GUGGAAACUGCGAUACCUCCACAAUCGCGGCAGGAGCCUCCGCCUUCUGGCUGAAGUCGAGAUGCAGCCACCCAGUCCCAGGCGGCGCUGCCGUAUCAAUGUUGCAAUGCCACUGCUGGCGUUGUAUUGUGAUGGCCACAGUGACAUGAGGGUGGACUUCAGGCUCACCUGAGUCAUUCAACGCCCUCAUGGCUGUGCUGGGCACUGACUGACCACGGUUGGGGCCCCGAGAUCUCCUGUCUAGUUUUUAUUUUUUGGCUUGCCAGCGCCA